This is a non-coding RNA of Pelobates cultripes (western spadefoot toad), 569 nucleotides long. Lineage: Eukaryota; Metazoa; Chordata; Amphibia; Anura; Pelobatidae. The record is from the annotation of a GenBank genome assembly.
GCAUUUCUUGCAGUCCUGAUGCAUGGAGAAAAGGCCUUCACAAGCCUCUGCUAAUGUGUACCUAGUUUUUUUUAUAUAUAUAUAUAUAUAUUAUUUAUUUAUUUUAAUUGGUGUAGCCCCCAAAAUAUUGUGACAUAUUAAAAAAAAAACAAAAAAAAAAAACAACAGAGUAGCUGUUGACUUUAUAGUUGCGCAGGAACUUUGUUGACUCUAGAGAACCUCGGGCAAAUCGCACAUCCCCGUGGCGGCGACUUUGCAUGCGCAUGUUAUCAACUUUUGAUGCCAGUUUCUGCGCCUACCAUGGUGACCACGGGUAACUGGGAAUCAGGGUUCAAUUCCGUCUAGGGACCCUGAGAAACGGCUACCACAUGCAAGGAAGGAAGCAGGCGUGCAAAUGACCCACUCCCGACGCGGGAUGGUAGUGACGACAAAUAACAGUACAGGACUCUUUAGAGGACCUGUAAUUGUAAUGAGUCCACUUGAAAUCCUUUAACUCUGAUCAAUUGGAGGGAAGUCUGGUGCAGAGCCACUGACCUGUGUGUGCUGCAGCUGAAACUCCAGCCUGCUGC